This 437-nucleotide ribosomal RNA is filed under the name uncultured Pseudoflavonifractor sp. Its description in RNAcentral is "partial 16S ribosomal RNA". It matches the Rfam family "Bacterial small subunit ribosomal RNA", at positions 341 to 792 of the family's 1533-position model. Lineage: Bacteria; Bacillati; Bacillota; Clostridia; Eubacteriales; Oscillospiraceae. The record is from RNAcentral.
ACGGAAGGCAGCAGUGGGGGAUAUUGGGCAAUGGGCGAGAGCCUGACCUAGCAACGCCGCGUGAAGGAAGAAGGCCUUCGGGUUGUAAACUUCUUUUACCAGGGACGAAGGACGUGACGGUACCUGGAGAAAAAGCAACGGCUAACUACGUGCCAGCAGCCGCGGUAAUACGUAGGUUGCAAGCGUUGUCCGGAUUUACUGAGUGUAAAGGGCGUGUAGGCGGAGCUGCAAGUCAGAUGUGAAAUCCCGGGGCUCAACCCCGGAACUGCAUUUGAAACUGUAGCCCUUGAGUAUCGGAGAGGCAAGCGGAAUUCCUAGUGUAGCGGUGAAAUGCGUAGAUAUUAGGAGGAACACCAGUGGCGAAGGCGGCUUGCUGGACGACAACUGACGCUGAGGCGCGUAAGCGUGGGGAGCAAACAGGAUUAGAUACCCUGGUA